RNAcentral lists this unclassified non-coding RNA (254 nucleotides) under uncultured bacterium. RNAcentral describes it as "contains 16S-23S intergenic spacer region". It matches the Rfam family "Bacterial small subunit ribosomal RNA", at positions 524 to 776 of the family's 1533-position model. The record is from RNAcentral.
AACGUAGGACGCAAACGUUAUCCGGAAUUACUGGGCGUAAAGGGCGCGCAGGCGGUUGUUUAAGUUAGGCAUGAAAGCUCCCUGGCUAAACCGGGAGAGGAUGUCUGAUACUGGACGACUAGAGUACGUUAGAGGGGUGUAGAAUUCCGCGUGUAGUGGUGAAAUGCGUAGAGAUGCGGAGGAAUACCAGAGGCGAAGGCGGCACCCUGGGACGAGACUGACGCUGAGGCGCGAAAGCAUGGGUAGCGAACGGG